CUUCCUGCGGUUACAGUCAUGUUCAAUGCUGACAGAAAAUCAACACCUUGGUUAGCUUCAGAGAGCCAUUUUUGGCUAAUUUACUUCCUCUGGCCCAAUCCACUCCCCCGCCUUUCUUCUGGAGGACUGAGGUGAACGCUGGUUGCAUCCUUGCAAAUAUAUAUACGAUUAAAGGAGGAGGUAAGUUUAUGUGAUUAUCACCAACUGACUUCACCAUGUGCUUAGGGUAUUGCUUUCUUACAGCUGGGUCUUCUAAAGUCCAAGCACUUUAAUGGAAUUUAUGCCAUUUGCGUGCAGUUUUCAGUCAAUGCUCCAUAACAAAUGCACUCUUCAGCUAUUCAAGACUUCAUCAUAUCAUUGGAGCCAAAAGGACCAUGAAGAAAUCUUUGUAACUUUGGGACAAGAAAGUUAAAGACUUACAUUGUCACUCUUAGAUGAUUUUCAGUUGGUUUAAUUCUUCCAGGAAAAAAAAAAUUACAGGUAAAAGUCAUAUCAGAGUUUAUGAAAUAAAAAGGAAGAAAAACAAAACAAACAAACCAACAAAAACCCUACCAACCACUAACUGGAACUUCAGAAAAAUCAUACAACAUGAAAUUUAAUAUGAGUAACACUUCCUGUUUUGGUACAAAUGGUUCAAGAAAGAUGGAGCUAGCAAAUAAUUUGUAGUGUAGAUAGUUUGUCCUUUCUACUCAAAAAAUUAAUCUGACUCUUUAUUUUUUAAACAGAGCAAAUUCACACUGUUUAGCGCUGUUCUCUUAGGUCAAUUGAAAGCUACCAUAAGUGUGGAAGACUAUAUGUCCUCUAUGCAACAAGAGCAAAAGCUUUCAUAAGCCCUAAAUAUUGUUUCAUUCAGGAAGUUAUUCUUAUGUGUAUGUUUCCACAAGUAUUAUCAGUAGAAUUAGAGGUAGCAGCAAUAUCCACAAGUUGUUUGGUUUCCUUCCCACACUAUCAGACACUGAAACAACAAAGAUGAAAUGUUGUGGGAAACGCCUUUAACUGCAACACAAGUGGCUUUCCAGAAAAGAUUUAAGGAAAUUGUCUUUAAUGCAGAAUUGUUGAAGCGAUGUAAGAGGGAUUUUUGCAUGAAAUGUUUUAUUUGUGUAGUGCAUUUUAAGGACACCUUGGGCCAAAUUCUUUCCUGGUGUUAUGAUACUGAAGAUGUGUUCGGGCCAGUGGGCCAUAUUCUGAUCUUAGUUAUAUUAGUGUAACUUUCAAAGGAAAUUUUUCUAGAUUUAUGCUGAUGUAAUUGAAUUAAAGCCAACCAAAAAUCUUUGCAGAUUAUGGGUCAUCUCUGAAAAAGUAUUCUUGUGAGUGGUUUCAUUAAGGCGAAAUUGAUGCUUAUGAUCUCUUUUGGGUCAGAGGUUAUUGGCUAUGGUGUAUAAGCAGAAAAGAACCAAACUUGCUUUACAGAUCUCAGAUUGUUUUUUCAGGACUCACAGUUACAAAAACCCAUACUUUUACCUGUAGGUUAAAUGAAUUUGCUAAUCGUGUAAUUAAGAAACAAUAAACACGGAAUGCCUCAGGCCCAUUUUACCGAAUAAAACAGCAUUUUAAGCU
Molecule: long non-coding RNA, 1557 nt
Organism: Dermochelys coriacea (leatherback sea turtle)
Lineage: Eukaryota; Metazoa; Chordata; Testudines; Dermochelyidae
Exons: 2
Source: RefSeq, a predicted model, not a curated record